This 253-nucleotide ribosomal RNA is filed under the name uncultured bacterium. RNAcentral's name for it is "partial 16S ribosomal RNA". It matches the Rfam family "Bacterial small subunit ribosomal RNA", at positions 524 to 776 of the family's 1533-position model. The record is from RNAcentral.
UACGGAGGGGGCCAGCGUUGUUCGGAAUUACUGGGCGUAAAGCGUGCGCAGGCGGUUUUGUAAGUCUGACGUGAAAUCCCCGGGCUCAACCUGGGAAUUGCGUUGGAGACUGCAAGGCUGGAGUCUGGCAGAGGGGGGUAGAAUUCCACGUGUAGCAGUGAAAUGCGUAGAGAUGUGGAGGAACACCGAUGGCGAAGGCAGCCCCCUGGGUCAAGACUGACGCUCAUGCACGAAAGCGUGGGGAGCAAACAGG